AGAGUUUGAUCAUGGCUCAGAAUCAACGCUGGCGGCGNUAACACAUGCAAGUCGAACGAGAAAGUGGAGCAAUCCAUGAGUACAGUGGCGUACGGGUGAGUAACACGUGGGUAAUCUGCCUUUUAGUGAGGAAUAACGAUGGGAAACCGUCGCUAAUACCGCAUAAGCCCGAGAGGGGAAAGUCGCAAGACGCUGAAAGAGGAGCCCGCGGCCGAUUAGCUAGUUGGUAGGGUAAGAGCCUACCAAGGCAGAGAUCGGUAGCCGGCCUGAGAGGGCACACGGCCACACUGGCACUGAAACACGGGCCAGACUCCUACGGGAGGCAGCAGUGGGGAAUCUUGCACAAUGGGGGCAACCCUGAUGCAGCGACGCCGCGUGAGCGAUGAAGCCCUUCGGGGUGUAAAGCUCUUUCGGCAGGGAAGAUUAUGACGGUACCUGCAGAAGCAGCUGCGGCUAACUACGUGCCAGCAGCCGCGGUAAUACGUAGGCAGCGAGCGUUGUUCGGAGUUACUGGGCGUAAAGGGUGUGUAGGCGGUUCUUUAAGUUUGGUGUGAAAUCUCCCGGCUCAACCGGGAGGGUGCGCCGAAUACUGAGGGACUAGAGUGUGGGAGAGGAAAGUGGAAUUCCUGGUGUAGCGGUGAAAUGCGUAGAUAUCAGGAGGAACCCGGUGGUGUAGACGGCUUUCUGGACCAUAACUGACGCUGAGACACGAAAGCGUGGGUAGCAAACAGGAUUAGAUACCCUAGUAGUCC
This 752-nucleotide ribosomal RNA is filed under the name uncultured bacterium. RNAcentral's name for it is "bacterial SSU rRNA". It matches the Rfam family "Bacterial small subunit ribosomal RNA", at positions 8 to 796 of the family's 1533-position model. The record is from RNAcentral.